RNAcentral lists this transfer RNA (71 nucleotides) under Stegodyphus mimosarum. It matches the Rfam family "tRNA". From Rfam's summary of the family: Transfer RNA (tRNA) molecules are approximately 80 nucleotides in length. The record is from Rfam by way of RNAcentral. Lineage: Eukaryota; Metazoa; Arthropoda; Arachnida; Araneae; Eresidae.
GCCAUUGUGGUGUAACGGUAGAACACUCGGGGCAUAUCUGAGAGUUCCAGGUUCGAAUCCCGGCAAGGGCA